Molecule: ribosomal RNA, 254 nt
Filed under: uncultured bacterium
Lineage: Bacteria
Description: partial 16S ribosomal RNA
Rfam family: Bacterial small subunit ribosomal RNA
Source: RNAcentral
UACGAAGGGGGCUAGCGUUGUUCGGAAUCACUGGGCGUAAAGCGCACGCAGGCGGAUCGUUAAGUCGGGGGUGAAAUCCCGAGGCUCAACCUCGGAACUGCCUUCGAUACUGGCGAUCUUUGAGUCCGGGAGAGGUGAGUGGAACUCCGAGUGUAGAGGUGAAAUUCGUAGAUAUUCGGAAGAACACCAGUGGCGAAGGCGGCUCACUGGCCCGGUACUGACGCUGAGGAGCGAAAGCGUGGGGAGCGAACAGG